This 55-nucleotide small RNA is filed under the name Curtobacterium sp. ER1/6. Its description in RNAcentral is "Salmonella enterica sRNA STnc320". Lineage: Bacteria; Bacillati; Actinomycetota; Actinomycetes; Micrococcales; Microbacteriaceae. The record is from RNAcentral.
GUAACGAAGUGCAGUAUCGGAGGGGGCGGACCACGGUCCGCCCCCUCCACCACGU